This 2070-nucleotide long non-coding RNA is filed under the name Musa acuminata (dwarf banana). Its description in RNAcentral is "long non-coding RNA (MACU_LNC003189)". The record is from RNAcentral. Lineage: Eukaryota; Viridiplantae; Streptophyta; Magnoliopsida; Zingiberales; Musaceae.
AAAAUUACCUACAUAAUAAAGCAUCUAAUAUUACAUGAAAAUUAGAUAAGACACGAUGUGCAAUUCCAACAAAAGCAUGUUCUACUUUAACAUUUUGUGGGAAAUAGCAUAUCGAAAAUCAUGGAUGAAAAUGUGCUUUGUUACCAUGUUUUGGAUUCCAAUAUCUUUCACCACAUCACUGCUUCAAAGUUCACUGAACUCAAACAAAACUCAAAUUGAAUUGAUUAGAAACUCAUUAUUUCAUUGGGAUUUAAGGUUACCUUAAGAGGUGGAUGUUGAUAUCAUGGCACUUGUCACCAUCUGAAUCCCAAGUCCCACCACAUUCCAACCAUGCUACCGAUAGUCCACUUCAAUCAUGCAGGAAUGGAGUGCCACAAGCACCACAAAGUAAGUACUGCUCAUUUAGAUGGUGGUUUCCCAAAGCAGCUUAGGAUGCCACAAGCACCGCAAAGUAGGUACUGCUUAUAUAGAUGGUGGUAUCCCAAAGCAGCUUAGGAUGCCACAAGCACCACAAAGCAGGUACUGCUCAUAGAUGGUGGUUUCCCAAAGCAGUUUAGGAUGCCAGCAAAGGAGGUGAAAUGCAGAUGUCAGCAAAAAAGGUUUUCUUUUUUUUCCCCUUCUUUGUUUCAAAUUUAUGUUGCUUUUUCAUAGAAAUGGAUUAGUAAGGGACAGGUGUGUAACACCCCCAUUUUUCGGAUGUAAAAUAAUACUUAAUGGUCUACUUGAUAGGUAUACUUCAUUUAAGCUGAGCUUAGAUAUAUUUUGGGCAUAGUUCAGACUUAACAAAUUAAUGGGUCAAUUAUUUAUGACAAAUAACAUCAAAGCCAUCCAACGAUUGAGUAUAUCGAGAGGCUCAAGUAGCAGAAAAGAAAAUUUUGCCUAUGCAUAUAUCGUGAAGUGGAGCCACCACAGGCCUACAGCCCUCUAAUGCACAUACUAAGUUUUAAUUUUGAACUAUGUUAAUCCUUGAUGAGAAGGUCAAGCCCUUAAGUGAGAAAAUAAUAACACUCAAUUUAGUCUAAUGUUGGAAAUGGCAUAAGGCUAAGCUUCAUGACUAGCAUUAACUUUACCUUGGACUUAAACAUUUUGGGUAGGCCAUUCAUGCUAAACAUGUUGAUGGGUCAAUUAUUCUAUCGGGCCAGAUCAUGACAAGGUAAUUACUAAGCUAAUCUUUGAGCUGACUAGGACACAAAACCAGAACUUGAAAUCUGACUACAAUAGUUUUGUAGAUUAAGCACAUUUAAGAAGAAAGAAAACCAUAUGACAAUGUGAACACUUAACACAAGCGCAUGCCUAUAUUGCCAUCUGUAGAAUAUUAAAUGAUAACCAAUUGUCUGAUAAUUGAUGGAAUUAUGCAAGCACCAAUUCCUGCAUUAUAAUGAACAACAGUUCCUUCCUCAGAUGCACAUUAUACUCUAUCGACCUUCUUACUAAACAACUAUAUAUUGAGCAGUAAAAUCUAAAAUAAAUUAAGAACUUUGAACUUCAGUAAGUUCUCACGUCAACUCAAUUUGGCUUGUUUCAAAGCCUAGCUAAGUUCCUAAGAUUUUAAAUUAUGGUAACCAUGAACCUGUGUCCAAGAAGUACAUAGAUAUUGACAUUGCAGGUCUAGUAAUGUUUUCUUGUUCUAUGAGACAAAACACUUGAAAAGGCUUAAAAACAAUCGUGUGAGGAGAAAAUCAAGUGAAAUCUUACAUUACUUACAAGCACCAAAAUCUUUACUGCACUAAUGUGGCUUAAUGGAAACAAACAUAAAUUUGGUUAACAAAGGACCAGGUGUAUAGAUCCAAAAAUACCAGGCAAAAACAAUUCAGGUUCACAUUAAAAUAUGCAAACACUAUGCUCACCACACCACUCCCAACCCAGAAAAGGAGAAAUUUUAAGCAACCUAAUAGAUAACUGUUGAUAUCAGAGGUAAGUAGAAAGUGAAUAAGGAAUAAAAAAUAAAGCAAGUGGACUAGAAGGUGUAAAUAUCACUAUGUUUCCAUAUAGUCUUGAAAAUUGUCUCCAGUAGCAACAAAUAUCCCAACUGCAUCUUAAACAGUAAAGUGAUAAUAUAAUUUUUUUAAA